Molecule: long non-coding RNA, 3302 nt
Filed under: Fragaria vesca (wild strawberry)
Lineage: Eukaryota; Viridiplantae; Streptophyta; Magnoliopsida; Rosales; Rosaceae
Description: long non-coding RNA (FVES_LNC003102)
Source: RNAcentral
AUUAAGUAAAAUUUUCACACAAGUUGUCAAUUCAAUAAAAUUCAAUAUCAGACAACAUAUAAAUGUUGUCGGAUUAACAUAAGUAAAAUUUUCAUAAGUAUUGGUCAAUUUGAAAAUCCCUCCAAAAGUUGAGAAAAGAUAACCUUCAUAGCUAGACGACCUAUAAGUGUUGUCCGAAUGUAACUUUCAUUUUGACAAUUGAGACUAAAACAUACAUCUUUCUUCACCAACAUAUAUGUAUUGUCCCAAAAACAUACCUUUUUUCAAAGAAAAUUAGUAUUGUCUAAGUGUAUAUUCCACCGACACAAAAAAAAAAAAUGUGUCGCCUCGAACCAUACUUAAUUUUGUUUGUGUCGCUUGAUGGGUGUUGCCUGAUGUAGGAAAUGACAUAGUGUGUUGAUAUGGUUGUCUAGGGGCGGAGGAGAGGUGAAGAAUGGGGUUUGAGGGAGGACCGGGUAUUUUAAGUAGAAAAGGAUAACUUGAAAUUGCCCUAAAAUAUUUCAUGAAAAUUUUGAAAAUUUUGUUUGAAAUUGUUCCAAAUUUUUAGCGGAAAGGGAGACCGCCAAAAUUUUGGUUACUUAUGGAACAAGACUAACCUAUUUCGUCGCCCUGUUUUCUUUUAAGUCCUAGUAUUUAUGAGAAAUCACUCAUGUUUACAUGUUUAGUAAUUAGGAAAAUAGCCAUUAAUGGCACGUUUACUUGUCAGGAAUGGAAUUCAUAAGGAAUGGGAGAAAGAAUGAAUGGAAUAGUAUGUCAAGAGUUCAAUUACAUUAUACUGUUUACUUAUCAUAUAGAAUUAGAAUAUGAAUGGAAUUAAUUACGAUUGAUGUUGUUUACUUAUCAUAUAGAAUUAGAAUUAAAACUACUUCGAUUACUAAAUUACCCUUUAAAAAGUGUCUGCCAAGUAGUUUUUUUUUUUUGCUCGACAAAAAGUUAAACAUUUUGUUUAAAUCAAUAUAGGAUCAUAGAACAUCCAUUUUAUAAAAAAAAAACUACGUAUUAUGCCAAGUUGAUAAUGCAAAUUAGUUAUCCUUACUUUACACCAACAAACAAAAGAUGGUGGUCUUGGGGGGAAAGAUGGGGGCCUUGAGGUGAAAUUGGGAGAGGGAGAUGGGUGUGGCUCGGUGGUGUCUUCAAGAGAGAAUGAAGUGAGAUUUUUGGUCUCGGUGGUGUUCAGAGAGGAGAGAAUUGAAGAAUGGAUGAUUGAUUGAAGUGUAAAAGAAGAAUGUGUCAAAAGCUUGCAUGUCACAGACUAUAUAAACAUGUAACGAGAAAGGAACAAGGGUCUCUUUAAGGAGGCUCAUAUGGCUUUAAACAAAAUUGCACUUUUCAUAUCUGUUACCAGAAAAUCCAGUUUUGACCGGUUCAAUUAAGGUUUAGAUACCAAAGAAACCUAGCUAGCUAGAUAUCGUUAUGCAGAAGAGGAAGUAAGAAUACAUACAUACCAUACAAUGACCAUCUACAAUCCAACGACUCUAGAAGCUAUGUAGCUGCUAUACCAAUUCGUGGAUAUGGGGAAAACGUUUGCAUACUCGAUCAAAAAGUUAAUUCAGAUUUUAACCCUCCAAAUCUCAAUCAAAACCCCCGACGAACCCCUCCAUAUCACUCUCAAAAGACAAAUAGAUAUCAACAACGAUCAUGUCAAGUUGAUAAAGUAAAGAAAAUAAUAAAAAAUGAGAAGAUCACUGGAAAAGAGAGGACAAAGAGAGUGACUAACCAACAGCACAGUCGCAUGAUUCGUUUUUGUCGUUGUUCGGCUGCUUCUGAUAAUGAAAAAAUAUGGCACUUUCUGAUAAGAAAUAUAUUAGGGUUGGGUAAUUUGGGGUUAUUGAAAUUAUGUGAGGAUAAUUUGGGAACAAAAAGUUAAUUUCUGAUGGUGUCAUUCCUAAACCCACCUCCUCCCUUGGUAUUACAAAUCAAGGUUAACAAGGAAUCAAUUCCGGGUUGGGAGGUGGGACCCAUAACAAUUCCUAUUCCACCAUGAACAAGUAAACACAAGAAUUUCUUCAUCCCGUAAUCAUUCCCCUAUAUUUGUAUUCCAUUCCUAACAAGUAAACGUACCAUAAAACUGAAUAGGAAUGGAAAGAAUAAGGGUGGAAUAAUCAUUUGAAAUCACUCAUAAUUAAUUAAGGGCCAAUUACAUAUAAGUCCAUUUUGAGACAUUUUUUCCCACAUAGAUCCACCCCAACAUUUUUACCCACAUAAGUCCACCCAAGUCUAAAUAAGGUUUUGUAUUAAGUAUUGAAGUUCAACAUAAUUACAGACUGCCAUCCAACAAAAAAAAUUAGAUUUUCUCCCUUAUAUUUACAAGAAUGCCACUAAUAUAAAAAGUCAACAACCACUCAUUUCGGAACAGUCUCCGGCGGACCUCCGGCGAGGUUUCCGGUGGACCUCCGGGGAGGUUUCCGGCCGACCUCCGGCGUGGUUUCCGGCCGACCUUCGGCGAGAUUUCCGACCGACCUCCAACGAUGACAAAAAUUACUACUACCAGCUAUAAAAGCUACUACCACCAGCUACAAAAGCUACUACCACCGCCUACAAAAGAUACUACUGUGAGGUUUCCGAUGAACACAAAAGCUACUACCACCAGCCACAAAAACUACUACCACAAGCUACAAAAGCUACUACCACCGCCUACAAAAGCUACUACUGUGAGGUUUCCGACGAACACAAAAACUACUACCACCAGCUACAAAAGCUACUACUACUGCCUACAAAAGCUACUACUACCGCCUACAAAAGCUACUACUGUGAGGUUUUCGACGAACACAAAAACUACUACCACCAGCCACAAAAGCUACUACCACCAGCUACAAAAGUUACUAUCACCGCCUAUAAAAGCUACUAUUGUGAGGUUUCCGACGAACACAAAAAAUACUACAAUCAGCCACAAAAGCUACUACCACCGCCUACAAAAGCUACUACCGAGAUAAACAAAAGCUACCACCAAUAUAAACAAAAGCUACUACCCCUAUAUACAAAAGCUACCGCCACAACAAAAGUUAUUACCGACAUAAACAAAAGCUACUACCCCUAUAUACAAAAACUACUACUGCCAGACAUAAAAGCUAUUGCCUCCAUCAAUAUAAGCUACUACCGUUACCAACAAAAAAUACUACUCUAACUAACAAAAGCUACUGCUUUCACUGACAAAAACUACUACAAGAUAUUUACUACUGUUUGAACUCUCACAAUCUUCACCUCCACUUGAUUUCCUGCAAUUCGAAUCAAAAUCACGAUCCGUCAACACAUAUGCAAAUCACACUCACAUAUCUCGCGUUCGGAUUUACAGAAUCGUAGNN